GAGGGGACCACAGGAAGGUGCCAACACCAGGAGGCUGAGAUCGUGGGGACUGUCUCAGUGUUUCCACAACAGGGCAUUUUUCAAGGAGGCCAAAUGGCAUUUGAUGUUCAGAAACCCACCUCUCUGACAACAGCCCACCUGAGCACAUGGAGAGUUUCUCUGUCCUAAUAGUGACGUAAUUGGCAAAGGGGGACCAUUCCGUCCAACACUGAAGGAGAUGGAGAAAACGAAGGUGAAAGAAGGUGGAAAAGUUGGAGGUAUAGCUGUCACUCUCAUGUUCGGAGCUGCUCUCUUUCUGAGCCAUCAAGAGCUUGCACACCGUGAGAGAUGCGUUUGGCCUGAGUCCCCAUCGGGCCUACAGCCCCCCACCUUCAUGUGCACCUGGCCUCUAGUCAUGUGUUCUCCUGCCUCGGAAGAAAUGGAACUCCAUCCUGAAGAUAAAAGAUUUCUGCUGCUGGGCUCACUUGAAGAACUUUCUGACUUACAUGAAUAACUAGCAUGGUAUAAACACACUUUAUCUGAAUACAUGCUUUCUUCUUAUUCCUGUAUGCUCUUUUGAAGUCAGAGAUAACAUGUCUUCAUCUUUUAUUUCCCCAGCAUGGCCAGAGACUUGUAUACAGUGGGUGCUAAUUAAGUAUUUGUUGAAUUGAACUGGAAAGCCAAAGUGAAAUGCUCUCAGUCCUCGCAAUGGGUUGUUCCUUCUGUGUUUAAAAUCUCAUUCCAGAGCCACACUGUGACCGUCUACGUGAAUCGUGCAUAUCUAUGUUACCUCCGCCUCUCCUGAUGCAGCAAAAGCAUUUAACAAAAGCUGCACCUCCCAUUCGGAAGCCUGCCUUCUUACUGGGAGGACAGCUCUCGUGUGUACAUUCAUUCCUUGCUGGAGAGGUGGGUGUUGGGUGGAGUUGGGGGAGGGAGAAGUUGUUAAAACACCAUGGGAAC
Molecule: long non-coding RNA, 939 nt
Filed under: Macaca mulatta (Rhesus monkey)
Lineage: Eukaryota; Metazoa; Chordata; Mammalia; Primates; Cercopithecidae
Description: lncRNA (ENSMMUG00000059159.1)
Source: RNAcentral